UACGUAGGGUGCGAGCGUUGUCCGGAAUUAUUGGGCGUAAAGAGCUCGUAGGCGGUUUGUCGCGUCUGCUGUGAAAACCUAAGGCUCAACCUUGGGCUUGCAGUGGGGUACGGGCAGACUAGAGUGCGGUAGGGGAGAUUGGAAUUCCUGGUGUAGCGGUGGAAUGCGCAGAUAUCAGGAGACACCGAUGGCGAAGGCAGAUCUCUGGGCCGUAACUGACGCUGAGGAGCGA
This 232-nucleotide ribosomal RNA is filed under the name uncultured bacterium. Its description in RNAcentral is "partial 16S ribosomal RNA". It matches the Rfam family "Bacterial small subunit ribosomal RNA", at positions 524 to 756 of the family's 1533-position model. The record is from RNAcentral.